This 432-nucleotide ribosomal RNA is filed under the name uncultured bacterium. RNAcentral's name for it is "bacterial SSU rRNA". It matches the Rfam family "Bacterial small subunit ribosomal RNA", at positions 29 to 507 of the family's 1533-position model. The record is from RNAcentral.
AACGAACGCUGGCGGCAGGCCUAACACAUGCAAGUCGAACGCUUCAGCAAUGAAGAGUGGCAGACGGGUGAGUAACGCGUGGGAACCUUCCCAGUGGUACGGAAUAGCCCAGGGAAACUUGGGGUAAUACCGUAUAAGCCCCUAGGGGGAAAGAUUUAUCGCCAUUGGAUGGGCCCGCGUCGGAUUAGCUUGUUGGUGGGUAAAAGCCUACCAAGGCGACGAUCCGUAGCUGGUCUGAGAGGAUGAUCAGCCACACUGGGACUGAGACACGGCCCAGACUCCUACGGGAGGCAGCAGUGGGGAAUAUUGGACAAUGGGCGCAAGCCUGAUCCAGCCAUGCCGCGUGAGUGACGAAGGCCCUAGGGUUGUAAAGCUCUUUUGGCGGGGACGAUAAUGACGGUACCCGCAGAAUAAGCUCCGGCUAACUUCGUG